CCUACGUGAGGCAGCAGUGAGGAAUAUUGGUCAAUGGGCGCGAGCCUGAACCAGCCAAGUAGCGUGAAGGAUGACUGCCCUACGGGUUGUAAACUUCUUUUAUAAAGGAAUAAAGUGAGGCACGUGUGCCUUUUUGUAUGUACUUUAUGAAUAAGGAUCGGCUAACUCCGUGCCAGCAGCCGCGGUAAUACGGCGGAUCCGAGCGUUAUCCGGAUUUAUUGGGUUUAAAGGGAGCGUAGAUGGGUUGUUAAGACAGUUGUGAAAGUUUGCGGCUCAACCGUAAAAUUGCAAUUGAUACUGGCAGUCUUGAGUACAGUGGAGGUAGGCGGAAUUCGUGGUGUAGCGGUGAAAUGCUUAGAUAUCACGAAGAACUCCGAGUGCGAAGGCAGCUUACUAAACUGCCACUGACAUUGAUGCUCGAAAGUGUGGGUAUCAAACAGGACUAGAUACCCGGGUAGUC
Molecule: ribosomal RNA, 460 nt
Filed under: uncultured bacterium
Lineage: Bacteria
Description: partial 16S ribosomal RNA
Rfam family: Bacterial small subunit ribosomal RNA
Source: RNAcentral